This 119-nucleotide ribosomal RNA is filed under the name Carassius auratus (goldfish). The record is from RNAcentral. Lineage: Eukaryota; Metazoa; Chordata; Actinopteri; Cypriniformes; Cyprinidae.
GCUUACGGCCAUACCAGCCUGGCUAUGCCUGAUCUUGUUUGAUCUUGGAAGCUAAGCAGGUUUGGGCCUGGCUAAUAGUUGGAUGGGAGACUGCCUGGGAAUACCAGGUGCUGUAAGCU